GCCUAUAUCAAGAGAUAGAUGGCUGAUAAAUUAGAGGAAGAUCUAUAAUAGCUUGUUUUAUAGGAUAUCCAAAAGAAUCAAUGGGAUACUACUUCUACUUUUCACAAGAUCACAAUGUGAUUGUGAAUCGAAACGCCAUAUUCUUAGAAAAAUAGUUUAUUCAGGAUGAUGGUAGUAGGAGAUUAGUUGAGCUCAAAGAGAAG
This 203-nucleotide long non-coding RNA is filed under the name Elaeis guineensis (African oil palm). RNAcentral's name for it is "long non-coding RNA (EGUI_LNC053664)". The record is from RNAcentral. Lineage: Eukaryota; Viridiplantae; Streptophyta; Magnoliopsida; Arecales; Arecaceae.